CCACCAGUACUACUUUCUAAACACUUCAUCUACAUGGACAGAUGCUCAGAGUAUCUGCAGACGCAACUACACCGAUUUGGCCACCAUUGAAAACACAGCUGAUGUUGAUGCUUUUCUGAGGACUUCCUUAAACUAUACAGGCAAAGCUUGGAUAGGUCUCUAUGAUGAAAGGAUAAACAGCUGGAAAUGGUCCCUAAAUGACAGUAGCUUCUAUGGUCCAGGAGAAUACACAUUUAGAAACUGGAAUGGCGGACAGCCCGACGAUUUUUAUGGACAACAGCACUGUGUUCAAUUUUAUGGACAGGGAAGUUGGGAUGACAUUGGGUGCACAGACAUAAUACCAUUUAUCUGCUAUAAUGGUAUGCUAGGUGGAUCACCAUCCUAUGUUGUCAGUAAUAUGUCACUAAAUUGGAAUGAAGCGCAGAAGUUCUGCAGGGCCAAUUAUGUUGAUCUGGCCAGGUAAGAG
Cyprinodon variegatus (sheepshead minnow) is the source of this 466-nucleotide long non-coding RNA. RefSeq lists it as uncharacterized. Lineage: Eukaryota; Metazoa; Chordata; Actinopteri; Cyprinodontiformes; Cyprinodontidae. The record is from RefSeq and is a predicted model, not a curated record. The transcript is spliced from 3 exons.